This 1200-nucleotide long non-coding RNA is filed under the name Arabidopsis lyrata. Its description in RNAcentral is "long non-coding RNA (ALYR_LNC001315)". Lineage: Eukaryota; Viridiplantae; Streptophyta; Magnoliopsida; Brassicales; Brassicaceae. The record is from RNAcentral.
GUAUGUAUAUAUAAAAGUAGUAAAAAUCUAUGUUCUAUAAGUUUUACCUUAGCCAUAUCACUGAAUUGCAUUUCCACAAACUCUUUCCAUUGAUCUUCUGGAAUCAGUCCUGGUCUCACAUCAAAUGAUUCCUCUAGAGUAUUUCUUCUAUACUUUUUCCAGAGAUGUUGCUUCAAGUCUCGACAUCUACCUCCUAAAGCAGAUAAAGUAUAUUUCCUCCUCCUUCUUGGAUCAUCAAACCAAAACUUCUUAUGUGUUUAUGUAAAUGUAAACACAAAAAAAACUCAUGAAACACUUUCAAAAUUUUUAGCAGUUUAAAAAGUAAUCUACACAUGGAAUCCUAUUUUUCUGGCUGCAUUCUAGCACACAAGGCACGUAACUCUAGCACACAUGUCACAUAACUCUCUUCUCCUUCUCUAUUAAAAGAUCUUUGACUCCACUUAUAUAGUCUUGAGAUAUACGAUGUUUUGUAAUCUAAGACUUGUCCAUUCUCAAUUCUGAAACUAUACAAGUUCAAGCAAUAAACAAACACACUCUAACUUCCAUAGAAAUGGAAAUUGGAAACCACAAACAAAAAAAAAUAAUCGAUAACUCAUGGAGUCAUAAAAAUGUCAGUUAAACAUAUAUUCUUAUUGAGACAAAAUCCAGAAGCAACAUCAAUCAAACGUGUUAAACAUCCAAUGCUCAUCAGUAAAAUACAUACCCAGAAUCAAUUUUCACUCAUUUUCAACCAAAAUUUAAAACAAUAUUCACAAAUCCAGAAUCAAUUUCACUCAGGCAAGAAGCAAAACAAGGAAAACAUGAUGAAUUGUGUGUGUUGUCAGUAUCUAUUUCAAGGAUAUGUUAAUGUUCAUGUUAAAGUCCCUUAGUUUUUUUUCCUUUUGAGAACCAUAGCAUAAUCAAAACUUCAAUAUAACAAACACAAAUCUCAAAUAGACAAAUAGUCGACAGUCAAUCUAGAGGGAGCAAGUGAAUGGUACCUUGAAUUUUGGAGUCGGCGAGAAAAAAUCAAAUCGAGAUUGAUGAGAUCGAUGACGAUUCGGGAUCUAUUGAGACUGAUGAGCGCUUGAAAUCUACUUAGAAACUCAAAGAAACAAAAAACCCCAUGAUUUGUUCGAUGACAUUGAAGUUCUCCGAAGAAGACGAUGCUCGUAUUUUCUGGGUUUGAGAAGCUUUGGAGAAGAAGAGGAUGCUCGUAGU